CCUACGAGAGGCAGCAGUAGGGAAUAUUGCUCAAUGGGGGAAACCCUGAAGCAGCAACGCCGCGUGGAGGAUGAAGGUUUUCGGAUUGUAAACUCCUUUUGUUAGAGAAGAUAAUGACGGUAUCUAACGAAUAAGCACCGGCUAACUCCGUGCCAGCAGCCGCGGUAAUACGGAGGGUGCAAGCGUUAGUAUGAAAGACUGGGUGUAAAGAGGGAGUAGGCGGGAUAGCAAGUCAGAUGUGAAAUCCUAUGGAUUAACCAUAGAACUGCAUUUGAAACUGUUAUUCGAGAGAAUGGGAGAGGUAGGUGGAAUUCGUGGUGUAGGGGUAAAAUCCGUAGAGAUCAAGAGGAAUACUCAUUGCGAAGGCGACCUGCUAGAACAUAACUGACGCUGAUGCGCGAAAGCGUGGGGAGCAAACAGGAUUAGAUACCCGGGUAGUC
Molecule: ribosomal RNA, 440 nt
Filed under: uncultured bacterium
Lineage: Bacteria
Description: partial 16S ribosomal RNA
Rfam family: Bacterial small subunit ribosomal RNA
Source: RNAcentral